RNA transcript from Cercocebus atys (sooty mangabey), 6224 nucleotides. It is a transcript of the gene named tripartite motif containing 44, with no coding region annotated. NCBI's taxonomy places the organism in Eukaryota, Metazoa, Chordata, Mammalia, Primates, Cercopithecidae. The transcript is spliced from 6 exons. The record is from RefSeq and is a predicted model, not a curated record.
CACUUUAAAUGACUCAGGAAGUAAAAGGAGGCCUCCUGACGGGGAAAGGGAAAGUGGAACCGGGGCGGCGCGGGGGACGGCGGCAGCAGCAAUCUCGCCCGAGUAGCGGGAGGCUGAGCGGGCGGCGCGACGCGGGGGCCGACGGGGGCGCCGGGUGCCCGCGCCGGAAGUGCCCUGCGCGGCAGAGGAAGCGCAAGGACAGAGCGGAGCAGGCCGAGCCAGCGGAAGGCUCUUUGCUGCUCCGCCCGGGCAGGGGCUGCCCCGGCCCCAGGUCCCGCUUCCAGACGCGGCGCGGUCCAGGCGGGCGGCGACUCCCGAGGAAGGGACCCGGGGCGGGAGAAGGAAGUGAGGAGGCCGCGCAGAGGGAAGGCGGCGAGCCCUGAGGCCCCGAGGCCUUACCGCGUCACAGCAACCACAUGGCCUCCGGAGUGGGCGCGGCCUUCGAGGAGCUGCCUCACGACGGCACGUGUGACGAGUGCGAGCCCGACGAGGCUCCGGGGGCCGAGGAAGUGUGCAGAGAAUGCGGCUUCUGCUACUGCCGUCGCCACGCUGAGGCGCACAGGCAGAAGUUCCUCAGUCACCACCUGGCCGAAUACGUCCACGGCGCCCAGGCCUGGACCCCGCCAGCUGACGGAGAGGGGGCGGGGAAGGAAGAAGCGGAGGUCAAGGUGGAGCAGGAGAGGGAGAUAGAAAGCGAGGCAGGGGAAGAAAGUGAGUCGGAGGAAGAGAGCGAGUCAGAGGAAGAGAGUGAGACAGAGGAAGAGAGUGAGGAUGAGAGCGAUGAGGAGAGUGAAGAAGACAGCGAGGAAGAAAUGGAGGAUGAGCAAGAAAGCGAGGCCGAAGAAGACAACCAAGAAGAAGGGGAAUCCGAGGCGGAGGGAGAAACUGAGGCAGAAAGUGAAUUUGACCCAGAAAUAGAAAUGGAAGCAGAGAGAGUGGCCAAGAGGAAGUGUCCGGACCAUGGGCUCGAUUUGAGCACCUAUUGCCAGGAAGAUAGGCAGCUCAUCUGUGUCCUGUGUCCAGUCAUUGGGGCUCAUCAGGGCCACCAACUCUCCACCCUAGACGAAGCCUUUGAAGAAUUAAGAAGCAAAGACUCAGGUGGACUGAAGGCGGCUAUGAUCGAAUUGGUGGAAAGGUUGAAGUUCAAGAGCUCAGACCCUAAAGUAACUCGGGACCAAAUGAAGAUGUUUAUACAGCAGGAAUUUAAGAAAGUUCAGAAAGUGAUUGCCGAUGAGGAGCAGAAGGCCCUUCAUCUAGUGGACAUCCAGGAGGCAAUGGCCACAGCUCAUGUGACUGAGAUACUGGCAGACAUCCAAUCCCACAUGGAUAGGUUGAUGACCCAGAUGGCCCAAGCCAAGGAACAACUUGAUACCUCUAAUGAAUCAGCUGAGCCAAAGGCAGAGGGCGAUGAGGAAGGACCCAGAAAUUGAGCAUGAGAAAAACAGUGCAAAGAGGGAGGAGCUGACAGAGUUGCAGCAAAAGCAGAGAAAGAGGCAUUUCUUAGCUGCUAGAUGCAUCUUGGUCUGGAUACUUUGGGACAGCUGCCGUUUUCUCCCACCUGUACAGUGGUGCCAGUGAAGAAGAGGACACAUGAAGGCUUGCUACCCCCAGUGGAAAAUCAUCCCCUCCCCUUGUGUGUAUGUGACAGUGUGUAUGUAACGGCUUCUGAUUUCUGUGAAAGCUGCUCAGCAACAAACGUACUUCCACCAGAUGUGUCCCCAGAUCCACAGCAGGCACAUAUCUCUCCAAGGGAUGACCAGUUUUAUGCUUACUGACUGUGUGCUUCUCAUCUUCUGGUUGUGGUAGGUCAAGGAAAAGAGCCCAUUUGAUCCACCAGGAGCAAUUAAGAAGGGUCCUUCAGGUAAUCCCUCAGUGGCUGCUUUGAACUUACUCAGGAAAGUCAGCCCCCAUAAUAUUGUGUUACCAAACAGUAUGGCUUUGUUAGGAAGGAUCUGGAAUAAUCUUGAAGGGAAGUCAGAGUUUUCUCCCUGCCUAUUAACAGAAACCCAAUUUUGUUCAUAUUGAAGCAUGAAAUAAAUGAGAGCAAGGUAGGGCCACAUUGACUCAUGUGGGCAGUCCCUAAAAGUCCAGUUCUGCAUUUGUGAAAAUGUGGUGCCAUGAAUUAAGGUGGAUGACUGGAAAAAGGUGUUGGAGAAAGAGUUAAAGAUUAGGAAGAGAUAUUUUUAGUAUAUGAAGUUAUCCAGGACUUGAGAUUCAUAAUUCAGUGCUGUGGAAAUGAAAAAAAAUGAUUGAAGAGGUGGAACGGAAAUGACCUUAGGGGGAAAAAAAAGGACCAAAGAAAUCUGAUUAAAAGUUGAAAUCAGUAAUUCUGAAUUCAAAUUGCUUGAAUUUCCAAAAUAGUCAGUAAAGGAUCUAAUAGAACCACAAUUAUUUGGGUGAAUUCUGCAGGUUUUAUGGGCUUGUCACAACAUGAAGGGCUGGAAUGUAUAUUACCAAAUGGGAAUUUUCACUGUAGGUUUUUGCUAGUCCUACCCCCAUUUUAGCCUAAUUUGGCUUAAAUGCAGUAUGGGGAGAAUUGAUGCCACUCCAUGUGUUCUGAAUUCAGCUGAUCUCCCAGCAUAUAGAUAUAACCUCCUUUACCUCAGACCAGAACCCUUCUUCCUGUGGCACUCCCCACCCACAGACCUUCAGAUCAUCUCCCACACCCUGGAUCUCGCUCUCCUCUUAGUAACAGAGACAUGCCUGAGGUUGGACUUCCUUGCUUUUCUCUACUUCCAAAUCACAAUUUCUUACAACCAAGCUUUGUACUCCCGAGUAAGCAGGGAUGUGCUAGGGGAAUGUAAAACUGCAAACUUAAAAACCUGCAUCUUCUUGAAGCAUCAGUUUUACUUACCAAAUGGUUUGGAGUCAGGAGAUGACCUAUUUUUAUAUAAAAGUUAUAUUAUAGAAUAAAAUGUUCAUACACAUAGACUGUUAAGAUAAAAAAUAGGAAUCUUGAAAGGUAAUUAUUUGCAAGUGGGUUAUAUGUUCACUCUCCUCUGCCUUUAUGGUAUUUUGGUGUUCACUUAUGAAGAAUACAACUGGAACCAUAUCCAAGCAGACUCUGGGUUGCUGCUAACCCAGGGCCUAGACUUCUAGUGCCUCUGAGGCAGAACCAAAGGAGCCUGCACCGGGGAAAAUCCCUUUUCCUGCCUGCCUAUGACCUGUGUACCUAUUAUAGGGCCAGCUGAUUAUUGUGCUUGCAGGAUGGUUUUGAAACAGAAACAAUACUUGUUUACUAUAAGAGUCCUAUUUAUAUUAUUUUUCAGUCCUGUGAAUGCUGUGAAAUGAUUUAUUCCUUUGAGGCCAGGAAGCUCCCAGGCAUAUAUGCUUCUAGGUUAGGAUUGUCCUAACUCACUAAAGAUGCCAGGAUAUUAGGGCUGAGAGGAGUUUGAGAUGUUAAAAAAAAAAAAAAAGCAUUUUUCUCUCAAACUGGUGGCCAAGAAAUGGCUAAGACAAUUUUGGUGCUUUAGCUGUCUCUGCAAAGACUGGAGAAUUUGGCAUACCAUUAAUUACAACCUCCAAUCAUAUCCAACAAAACUACCCUAAAAGAAGGACCAGUGGCCACUCUUGAAAAAGUUUAAGUAUCAGAAGAUUAAAAAGAUUUUAGGAUUUGGAAGCUUGUAUUGUCUUUCCCCAAUAAUCAUUGUUUGAUCUCCAAAUAGUAGCCUUAUAUUAGCAAUGGACAGAUCAUUGGUUCUCCAUAUCUGAUCAUAUGUUAUUACUUUGAAUCAGUAUUUGGGAAAUUCAAGUAUUUAUGCAGUGGAUAUAAAUGGAAAUAUAAAAAUGUGUGCCAGUCUGUCUCAGUAACUUAUCUCUGAUCCUCAAGGAAAGCACUUUUGCUGUUACUUAGAAAGGGUUUCAGAGUUGCUUUACAGACUCCUGCUGUCUUCAGCACCUGAUAAAACUUUAACCAGGGAAGCAUUAAACACAGUGCAGCAGCUUUUGCCCAGGCUCCUAAGUUCCUGCCGGCAGCAUUUAUCAAUGUAAGAAACUAGGAUGCUUCCUGCAGUGGCACCACCUUCCCAUAGAGCUGGAGCAUGCUGCUUGGCCUUAAGCCCCAGCAUGAUGAGGCUUCCCUCCUGCCAGGUCAGUAAAACUUAGAAAGCUCAGAAUUGUGUCUUGCCUGGCUGCAGGUUGCAGGGUUUGCUGAAACCCCUAAAGAGAAGUCACCAAGGGAGGCAGGUAAUGAAUGUUUCCAGAAUCAGUCAGAUACUCAUAGCAAUUUCUGGCUACCUUUCAAAUGUUGAAUUUCCGGAUGCCGAGAGGGACUUUGAUUUGAUAUCAUUAAAUCCAGGACAGUCCCAAGAAGUGCUUGGAGUCUCCACUCUGACAGCCCAAGAAGGGAAAUAACUUGUAUUAAGGAACAACUAUGAGCCAGGCCCUGAACUGUCUCUUAGAUAAUAAAACAGAUGGGGAAUGGAAGUCAUUUGCUUCAAGUUACACAGCUAGGAAAUACUCAAGCCAAAUCUUGAACCCAGCUCCCCCUAAUUCUGUGGACAAGCACUUUGUACCACACACUGUGGUCCACCUAAAAACAGAAGGAUAAAAAGGCUUCAGGUUUUCCCACUGUGCGCUGACCAUCCCAAUUUAUGAAUCUUUUUCAAAAUGACAGUUAUAGUUAGGGCUCAGAAAUGGCAUUGAGGUAGCCUUAUUUCUCCCCUUUAGCCGAUGCUUUAAGUACACAUUGCUGGCUUGAGCCCACCCCCAGGAGUUGGGAGAACAUUUCCUUUUUCAUGCCGUCUUCCAUAAAUAAAGUGUUUCUUGGCCUUCAAAGGUAUAGAACUUUGCAGCAGUAGUAAAAGUGAAGGGUGUUCUGCUUUCUACUCAACUUUAUUUGCAACUGUCUGCAGCUUCACUGCUGUAGAAAAGGAAAUCUUCAUAUUUUAGUAAACUUAGCGGCCAGUGUGCUCUGUGAGGAUGUGGCAAUUCAAAGUCCAGUGAAUCUGGACUCUCCUACUAAUUCCUGGUUUGCGUGUGUUGGGGGAGUGUGUACCUAUAUAUAAAUGACAAGUGUGAUAUGUGUGUAUAUGUAUAUACGUACAUGUCCACACACACACACAAUAUUUGAGAACUAAGGAAAACUCAAAGCAGCCCCUUCAUUAUCUUGCAUACUACUUCAAAGAUUUCUGUCAGCCCUAAUUACAAGUGUCACCAUAUAGUUGGAGCUUAGGUACUUGCUUACAAGAAGAGCAAUUCCCUAGCAAAAGUUGUUAGCUGCUAAGGCACUGAGUCAAAGUGACAGCCCUGAAGGAAAUUGCACUCCAGCCCUCCUCCAAGAUGUCUAAUAACAUGGGAAACUUGGAUGCCCAGCCAUUUUGGUGACCUGAGAGUCUAACUACUCCAGUUAGACCUGAGGGCACAAAUGCAGAAUUCAUGACCUUGUAGUAGUGGCAGGGUCUAGGAAGUCCUCUCUCCCCAAGUAGAAAAUGCUCCCUUGCCAUUCUUGAAAUUCCACAUUCAUUAUAUGUAUUGGCUGUUCCAUACAUGCUUCUCAAUAAGAAAAUUAACUGCAUGUUUACUGUGUGCUGAUCACAUCAGAUUUUUAUGUUUAAAAAAAUCUCAUUAUGGACUGAGUCCAGCCCAGCCCUAGGAGAAAAAGAAGGCCCAUAGGGGAGACUUCAAUCUCAUUAUUAUUGCCUUUAUCCAACAGGGCUUAUGAAACCCCCUACCCUGUCCCAUUCCAGAAACCAUAAGACUCAGGCAGUUCUUGAUUCUGGAGGCCUGCCUGGUAAGAUAAGAUAGUAUCAUUUGGAACUGAGAACAUACCAGAAACAGCAGAACAAGGUCCAGAGCAGAAAAAUGAAAAUAAGUGAAGACACUUACGGAUACAUUGGUGCAGAAAAAGCCACGGAGCCCAUACUAGGCUUGAUAUGACUUUGAGGGGACAGCAGAUUAAUACUCAAUGAGGAUUAAACCUGACCGGUCUUUCUACAGUGACAGGCCACUCUGCAUGAAUGGGGAGAAUCAAUGAAUCCAUUGUCCUCUGCCUAUUUUCCUGUGCACAGUGACAUUCCUUCCUUAGGAAUCUUCCCUUUCCACCCUUUACAUUAAACAAGGGAACACUGAAUCUUUCAACAGAAUUACACGUUUGAGUUAAUGUUUCAGUAUAUCAUUUUCAUACUGUAAAUUAUUUUGAAAGAGAGAUUUACUGCUAUCCCAGGAUGUUUGGACUUGGCGCCCCUGUGCAUUUGGAAAUCAAUAAACUAUUACUGGAAAUGCCA